RNAcentral lists this ribosomal RNA (459 nucleotides) under uncultured bacterium. RNAcentral describes it as "bacterial SSU rRNA". It matches the Rfam family "Bacterial small subunit ribosomal RNA", at positions 340 to 786 of the family's 1533-position model. The record is from RNAcentral.
UACGGAAGGCAGCAGUGGGGAAUAUUGCACAAUGGGCGAAAGCCUGAUGCAGCUAUGCCGCGUGUAUGAAGAAGGCCUUAGGGUUGUAAAGUACUUUCAUCGGGGAGGAAAAAACAAAACUAAUAAUUUUAUUUCUUGACGUUACCCGAAAAAGAAGCACCGGCUAACUCCGUGCCAGCAGCCGCGGUAAUACGGAGGGUGCUAGCGUUAAUCAGAAUUACUGGGCGUAAAGAGCACGUAGGUGGUUUUUUUAAAGUCAGAUGUGAAAUCCCUGGGCUUUAACCUAGGAACUGCAUUUUGAAACUGAAAUACUAGAGUAUCGUAGAGGGAGGUAGAAUUCUAGGUGUAGCGGUGAAAUGCGUAGAUAUCUGGAGGAAUACCUGUGGCGAAAGCGGCCUCCUAAACGAAUACUGACACUGAGGGUGCGAAAGCGUGGGGAGCAAACAGGGAUUAGAUACC